UCCAUUUCAGGGUCGCACCUGGAGAGUUUCCAGUACUCUACCAGUCUUGAGUAUGGGAGGGAGAGUGAAGCAGAGGCCUGUCCAUUCCAUUCCUAGCUUAGGCAGCAGCUAGCGAGUGGAAGACACUCUGCUACAAGU
RNAcentral lists this small nucleolar RNA (138 nucleotides) under Ornithorhynchus anatinus (platypus). Lineage: Eukaryota; Metazoa; Chordata; Mammalia; Monotremata; Ornithorhynchidae. The record is from RNAcentral.